AGCCUACGGGGGGCAGCAGUGGGGAAUAUUGGGCAAUGGGCGCAAGCCUGACCCAGCAACGCCGCGUGAAGGAAGAAGGCUUUCGGGUUGUAAACUUCUUUUCUCAGGGACGAAGCAAGUGACGGUACCUGAGGAAUAAGCCACGGCUAACUACGUGCCAGCAGCCGCGGUAAUACGUAGGUGGCAAGCGUUAUCCGGAUUUACUGGGUGUAAAGGGCGUGUAGGCGGGGACGCAAGUCAGAUGUGAAAAACACGGGCUCAACCUGUGGCCGGCAUUUUAAACUGUGUUUCU
This 292-nucleotide ribosomal RNA is filed under the name uncultured bacterium. Its description in RNAcentral is "partial 16S ribosomal RNA". It matches the Rfam family "Bacterial small subunit ribosomal RNA", at positions 335 to 642 of the family's 1533-position model. The record is from RNAcentral.